RNAcentral lists this ribosomal RNA (460 nucleotides) under uncultured bacterium. RNAcentral describes it as "partial 16S ribosomal RNA". It matches the Rfam family "Bacterial small subunit ribosomal RNA", at positions 338 to 795 of the family's 1533-position model. The record is from RNAcentral.
CCUACGGGGGGCAGCAGUGAGGAAUAUUGGUCAAUGGACGAGAGUCUGAACCAGCCAAGUAGCGUGAAGGAUGACUGCCCUAUGGGUUGUAAACUUCUUUUAUAUGGGAAUAAAAUGUUCCACGUGUGGGAUUUUGUAUGUACCAUAUGAAUAAGGAUCGGCUAACUCCGUGCCAGCAGCCGCGGUAAUACGGAGGAUCCGAGCGUUAUCCGGAUUUAUUGGGUUUAAAGGGAGCGUAGGUGGAUUGUUAAGUCAGUUGUGAAAGUUUGCGGCUAAACCGUAAAAUUGCAGUUGAUACUGGCAGUCUGGAGUACAGUAGAGGUGGGCGGAAUGCGUGGUGUAGCGGUGAAAUGCUUAGAUAUCACGAAGAACUCCGAUUGCGAAGGCAGCUCACUGGACUGCAACUGACACUGAGGCUCGAAAGUGUGGGUAUCAAACAGGAUUAGAUACCCCAGUAGUC